This 240-nucleotide long non-coding RNA is filed under the name Gossypium barbadense (sea-island cotton). RNAcentral's name for it is "long non-coding RNA (GBAR_LNC016431)". The record is from RNAcentral. Lineage: Eukaryota; Viridiplantae; Streptophyta; Magnoliopsida; Malvales; Malvaceae.
UUCAUUUUGUUAAGGCCUAACAUUUAGUGGUUUCGGUCGAAUUGGUGACUUGGAAUUAGUAUAACCUUGAUAAUUAGUUCAUUCUAAAUGUCAUUUUUAGGUGCCAGGAUUACUGCUAUUAUGUCGGCAUCAAAAAGCGACUAGGUGUAUGUGACUUGAAUUCGUAAAAAUAGUGAAUGACGCGAAGUCGAAAAACCCACUAUCGACGCCACACGGUUGUAUGUCAGGCCGUCUGGGCCC